AUUGAACGCUGGCGGCAUGCCUAACACAUGCAAGUCGAACGGUAACGCGGAGAGCUUGCUCUCUGGCGACGAGUGGCGGACGGGUGAGUAAUACUUAGGAAUCUACCCAGUAGUGGGGGACAACAUUCGGAAACGGAUGCUAAUACCGCAUACGCACUACGGUGGAAAGUGGGGGACCUUCGGGCCUCACGCUAUUGGAUGAGCCUAAGUCGGAUUAGCUUGUUGGUGAGGUAAUAGCUCACCAAGGCGACGAUCCGUAGCUGGUCUGAGAGGACGAUCAGCCACACUGGGACUGAGACACGGCCCAGACUCCUACGGGAGGCAGCAGUGGGGAAUAUUGGACAAUGGGCGCAAGCCUGAUCCAGCAAUGCCGCGUGUGUGAAGAAGGCCUGCGGGUUGUAAAGCACUUUCAGUAGAGAAGAAAAGCCUAGGGUUAAUAACCCUGAGUCUUGACGUAACCUACAGAAGAAGCACCGGCUAACUCCGUG
This 488-nucleotide ribosomal RNA is filed under the name uncultured bacterium. RNAcentral's name for it is "bacterial SSU rRNA". It matches the Rfam family "Bacterial small subunit ribosomal RNA", at positions 30 to 507 of the family's 1533-position model. The record is from RNAcentral.